AAACCAUGUCGAGAACAUUUUCGUAGGAGUUCCUUAAACCUUUCCCAUGUCUUAGAUAGAGACUCCAAUUCCAAUUGUACAAAGGAUGAGAUCUCAUUCCUAAGCUU
Small nucleolar RNA from Dioscorea cayenensis subsp. rotundata (Guinea yam), 107 nucleotides. NCBI's taxonomy places the organism in Eukaryota, Viridiplantae, Streptophyta, Magnoliopsida, Dioscoreales, Dioscoreaceae. The record is from RefSeq and is a predicted model, not a curated record.